GGCUCGUUGGUGAAACGGUUAACACAGCGCCCUCUCAAGGCGUCAUUCACGGGUUCAAAUCCCGUACGAGUCACCA
This 76-nucleotide transfer RNA is filed under the name Holdemania filiformis. Its description in RNAcentral is "tRNA-Glu". It matches the Rfam family "tRNA". Rfam says of the family: Transfer RNA (tRNA) molecules are approximately 80 nucleotides in length. Their secondary structure includes four short double-helical elements and three loops (D, anti-codon, and T loops). Lineage: Bacteria; Bacillati; Bacillota; Erysipelotrichia; Erysipelotrichales; Erysipelotrichaceae. The record is from RNAcentral. RNAcentral also lists the same sequence under 2 other names.